This 229-nucleotide long non-coding RNA is filed under the name Elaeis guineensis (African oil palm). RNAcentral's name for it is "long non-coding RNA (EGUI_LNC039207)". The record is from RNAcentral. Lineage: Eukaryota; Viridiplantae; Streptophyta; Magnoliopsida; Arecales; Arecaceae.
AGGUGCAUUAAUGACUAGUGGUAGAAGUUUAUAAAUAAAUUUUUUGAUCUAGUGGUAGAUAUAACUUGACUCAAUUACAUAAAUCCCUUUAAAAUGAUUGCCUUUAUAUUUUUUGUAACAUGUGACUUUAGAAAAAAUCUCCAAAAAAAUAAGGAGAGUCACAAAAAUAUGAAGAUGCCACACACUUCUAGCACGAUAUCUCUUUAUUGAGAGUAGGAAUGUAGGUCAG